ACUGCUCAGUAACACGUGGACAACCUACCCUUUAGGACUGGGAUAAACCUGGGAAACUGGGUAUAAUACCGGAUAGGGCUCGAAUGCUGGAAUGCAUCGAGGCUGAAAGCUCCGGCGCCUAAGGAUGGGUCUGCGGCCUAUCAGGGUAGUAGUGGGUGUAAUGUACCUACUAGCCUACGACGGGUACGGGUCGUGAGAGCGAGAGCCCGGAGAUGGAUUCUGAGACACGAAUCCAGGCCCUACGGGGUGCAGCAGGCGCGAAAACUUUACAAUGCUGGAAACAGCGAUAGGGGGACUUUGAGUGCCAGGAUACAAUUCUGGCUGUCGUCGUGCCUAAAAAGCACGGCAUAGCAAGGGCCGGGCAAGACCGGUGCCAGCCGCCGCGGUAACACCGGCGGCUCGAGUGGUAACCGCUAUUAUUGGGUCUAAAGGGUCUGUAGCCGGCUGAAAAAGUCUCUUGGGAAAUCCGGCAGCUUAACUGUCGGGCUUUCAGGAGAUACUGCCAGGCUCGAGACCGGGAGAGGUAAGAGGUACUUCAGGGGUAGGGGUGAAAUCUUGUAAUCCUUGAAGGACCACCAGUGGCGAAGGCGUCUUACCAGAACGGAUCUGACGGCAAGGGACGAAAGCUAGGGGCACGAACCGGAUUAGAUACCCGGGUAGUCCUAGCCGUAAACGAUACUCGCUAGGUGUCGGCCACGGUGCGACCGUGGUCGGUGCCGUAGGGAAACCGUGAAGCGAGCCACCUGGGAAGUACGGCCGCAAGGCUGAAACUUAAAGGAAUUGGCGGGGGAGCA
RNAcentral lists this ribosomal RNA (794 nucleotides) under uncultured archaeon. RNAcentral's name for it is "bacterial SSU rRNA". It matches the Rfam family "Archaeal small subunit ribosomal RNA", at positions 85 to 878 of the family's 1478-position model. The record is from RNAcentral.